Schistosoma rodhaini is the source of this 48-nucleotide non-coding RNA. NCBI's taxonomy places the organism in Eukaryota, Metazoa, Platyhelminthes, Trematoda, Strigeidida, Schistosomatidae. The record is from Rfam.
AUCCAGCUGAUGAGUCCCAAAUAGGACGAAACGCGAAUCAAACUGUAU